CACGUAGGUGGCAAGCGUUGUCCGGAUUUAUUGGGUUUAAAGGGUGCGUAGGCGGCUUAUUAAGUCAGUGGUGAAAUACUCUAGCUCAACUAGAGGGGUGCCAUUGAUACUGAUGAGCUUGAGUACAGAUGAGGUAGGCGGAAUUGACGGUGUAGCGGUGAAAUGCUUAGAUAUCGUCAAGAACACCUAUAGCGAAGGCAGCUUACUAGGCUGUAACUGACGCUGAGGCACGAAAGUGUGGGGAUCAAACAGG
This 253-nucleotide ribosomal RNA is filed under the name uncultured bacterium. RNAcentral's name for it is "partial 16S ribosomal RNA". It matches the Rfam family "Bacterial small subunit ribosomal RNA", at positions 524 to 776 of the family's 1533-position model. The record is from RNAcentral.